GCGGAGGAAAAGAAACCAACCGGGAUUGCCUCAGUAACGGCGAGUGAAGCGGCAAGAGCUCAAAUUUGAAAUCUGGCCCCCUCGGGGUCCGAGUUGUAAUUUGCAGAGGAUGCUUCGGGUGCGGUCCCCAUCUAAGUGCCCUGGAACGGGCCGUCAUAGAGGGUGAGAAUCCCGUCUGGGAUGGGCGGCCGCGCCCGUGUGAAGCUCCUUCGACGAGUCGAGUUGUUUGGGAAUGCAGCUCUAAGCGGGUGGUAAAUUUCAUCUAAAGCUAAAUACUGGCCGGAGACCGAUAGCGCACAAGUAGAGUGAUCGAAAGAUGAAAAGCACUUUGAAAAGAGAGUUAAACAGCACGUGAAAUUGUUGAAAGGGAAGCGUUGUCCACCAGACUCGCCCGGGGGGGUUCAGCCGGCACGUGUGCCGGUGUACUCCUCUCCGGGCGGGCCAGCAUCGGUUUGGGCGGCUGGUGAAAGGCCCCGGGAAUGUACCACCCUCCGGGGUGUCUUAUAGCCCGGGGUGCCAUACAGCCAGCCUGGACCGAGGCCCGCGCUUCGGCGAGGAUG
RNAcentral lists this ribosomal RNA (560 nucleotides) under Talaromyces amestolkiae. Its description in RNAcentral is "LSU rRNA". It matches the Rfam family "Eukaryotic large subunit ribosomal RNA", at positions 50 to 625 of the family's 3401-position model. Lineage: Eukaryota; Fungi; Ascomycota; Eurotiomycetes; Eurotiales; Trichocomaceae. The record is from RNAcentral.